AGGACAUCCCACUGCAGCAGGUGGAAGAGACCGAGGCCAUAUGGAUAAACUCUUCAGAGACUGUAGUUACUCCAGAAAAAAAGAGAGAAAGUCAUGCAGUUGUGGAACAACAUGUAGGGUAUUUUGAUUUGAGAUUCAGCACUUUGGACGAAGAUGAACCGGAAUUUCUACUUAUGCUUUCGAUCGGAAGGAAAUCGAGCCAGCGAGCGAAUCAAUAAAAGCAGAGUGGAGGAGGAAAGUUCACAUCAGCUUCUUUUUCCUGCAAACUCAUUAGAAAGGAAGAGAGCAGAAGAAACUGCAGGACUGAUGCUUCAUAUUAUAGUCUGCACCAUGAGGAGCAAUCUAAAUUGCAUAAAUAAUGAUUUUUGGAAGGGUUUCCAAAGAGUAUCCCCAAAUUAUGGUUAGACCAAAACUUAAGAUAUAAGUUAAAUGCUAAAUGCUUUACACGUUUUAACACACUUCCCGGAUUUUCUGCUUUCUCAAGAUUUGCUGGAAAUAAUGAGUUUUAAUUGUGAUUGUAAUUUUAUUGUA
Molecule: long non-coding RNA, 531 nt
Organism: Carassius gibelio (silver crucian carp)
Lineage: Eukaryota; Metazoa; Chordata; Actinopteri; Cypriniformes; Cyprinidae
Exons: 3
Source: RefSeq, a predicted model, not a curated record